UACGGAGGGAGCUAGCGUUGUUCGGAAUUACUGGGCGUAAAGCGCGCGUAGGCGGCUUUGUAAGUUAGGGGUGAAAGCCCGGUGCUCAACAUCGGAAUUGCCUUUAAGACUGCAUCGCUUGAAUCCAGGAGAGGUGAGUGGAAUUCCGAGUGUAGAGGUGAAAUUCGUAGAUAUUCGGAAGAACACCAGUGGCGAAGGCGGCUCACUGGACUGGUAUUGACGCUGAGGUGCGAAAGUGUGGGGAGCGAACCGG
This 253-nucleotide ribosomal RNA is filed under the name uncultured bacterium. RNAcentral's name for it is "partial 16S ribosomal RNA". It matches the Rfam family "Bacterial small subunit ribosomal RNA", at positions 524 to 776 of the family's 1533-position model. The record is from RNAcentral.